Molecule: ribosomal RNA, 289 nt
Filed under: uncultured bacterium
Lineage: Bacteria
Description: partial 16S ribosomal RNA
Rfam family: Bacterial small subunit ribosomal RNA
Source: RNAcentral
UUGCCUACGGGACGCAGCAGUAGGGAAUCUUCCACAAUGGACGAAAGUCUGAUGGAGCAACGCCGCGUGAGUGAAGAAGGGUUUCGGCUCGUAAAGCGCUGUUGGUAGUGAAGAAAGAUAGAGGUAGUAACUGGCCCUUAUUUGACGGUAAUUACUUAGAAAGUCACGGCUAACUACGUGCCAGCAGCCGCGGUAAUACGGAGGAUGCGAGCGUUAUCCGGAUUUAUUGGGUUUAAAGGGGGCGUAGGCGGUCCGGAAAGUCUGCGGUAAAAGCCCGGGGCUCAACCCC